UACGUAGGGUGCAAGCGUUGUCCGGAAUUAUUGGGCGUAAAGCGCGCGUAGGCGGUCUGUCGAGUCUGCUGUGAAAACUCGCGGCUUAACCCCGGGCCUGCAGUGGGUACGGGCAGACUAGAGUGCGGUAGGGGAGACUGGAAUUCCUGGUGUAGCGGUGAAAUGCGCAGAUAUCAGGAGGAACACCGGUGGCGAAGGCGGGUCGCUGGGCCGUAACUGACGCUGAGGAGCGAAAGCGUGGGGAGCGAACAGG
RNAcentral lists this ribosomal RNA (253 nucleotides) under uncultured bacterium. Its description in RNAcentral is "partial 16S ribosomal RNA". It matches the Rfam family "Bacterial small subunit ribosomal RNA", at positions 524 to 776 of the family's 1533-position model. The record is from RNAcentral.